CUCAUCUGAGACGGAUUGAGAGUUGGCAUCGACCAGAGGGAAAAGGAGCAAUCCGCUUUGAUAUGGCCUCGCGUCCGAUUAGCUAGUUGGUGAGGUAACGGCCCACCAAGGCGACGAUCGGUAGCCGGACUGAGAGGUUGAACGGCCACAUUGGGACUGAGACACGGCCCAGACUCCUACGGGAGGCAGCAGUGGGGAAUAUUGCACAAUGGGGGAAACCCUGAUGCAGCGACGCCGCGUGGAGGAAGAAGGUCUUCGGAUUGUAAACUCCUGUUGUUGAGGAAGAUAAUGACGGUACUCAACAAGGAAGUGACGGCUAACUACGUGCCAGCAGCCGCGGUAAAACGUAGGUCACAAGCGUUGUCCGGAAUUACUGGGUGUAAAGGGAGCGCAGGCGGGAAGACAAGUUGGAAGUGAAAUCUAUGGGCUCAACCCAUAAACUGCUUUCAAAACUGUUUUUCUUGAGUAGUGCAGAGGUAGGCGGAAUUCCCGGUGUAGCGGUGGAAUGCGUAGAUAUCGGGAGGAACACCAGUGGCGAAGGCGGCCUACUGGGCACCAACUGACGCUGAGGCUCGAAAGUGUGGGUAGCAAACAGGAUUAGAUACCCUGGUAGUCCACACCGUAAACGAUGAUUACUAGGUGUUGGAGGAUUGACCCCUUCAGUGCCGCAGUUAACACAAUAAGUAAUCCACCUGGGGAGUACGACCGCAAGGUUGAAACUCAAAGGAAUUGACGGGGGCCCGCACAAGCAGUGGAGUAUGUGGUUUAAUUCGAAGCAACGCGAAGAACCUUACCAGGUCUUGAUAUCCAACUAACGAAGUAGAGAUACAUUAGGUGCCCUUCGGGGAAAGUUGAGACAGGUGGUGCAUGGUUGUCGUCAGCUCGUGUCGUGAGAUGUUGGGUUAAGUCCCGCAACGAGCGCAACCCUUGCUAUUAGUUGCUACGCAAGAGCACUCUAAUAGGACUGCCGUUGACAAAACGGAGGAAGGUGGGGACGACGUCAAAUCAUCAUGCCCCUUAUGACCUGGGCUACACACGUACUACAAUGGAUGUUAACAGAGGGAAGCAAGACAGUGAUGUGGAGCAAACCCCUAAAAACAUUCUCAGUUCAGAUUGCAGGCUGCAACCCGCCUGCAUGAAGAUGGAAUUGCUAGUAAUCGCGGAUCAGAAUGCCGCGGUGAAUACGUUCCCGGGCCUUGUACACACCGCCCGUCACACCAUGGGAGCCGGUAAUACCCUAGCCUUAACAUCCGUCUCAGAUGAG
This 1264-nucleotide ribosomal RNA is filed under the name Streptococcus parasanguinis. Its description in RNAcentral is "bacterial SSU rRNA". It matches the Rfam family "Bacterial small subunit ribosomal RNA", at positions 163 to 1448 of the family's 1533-position model. Lineage: Bacteria; Bacillati; Bacillota; Bacilli; Lactobacillales; Streptococcaceae. The record is from RNAcentral.